This 1343-nucleotide ribosomal RNA is filed under the name uncultured bacterium. RNAcentral's name for it is "bacterial SSU rRNA". It matches the Rfam family "Bacterial small subunit ribosomal RNA", at positions 28 to 1387 of the family's 1533-position model. The record is from RNAcentral.
GGCGAACGCUGGCGGCGCGCCUAACACAUGCUAGUCGAACGAGCGAGAGAGAGCUUGCUUUCUCGAGCGAGUGGCGAACGGGUGAGUAACGCGUGAGGAACCUGCCUCAAAGAGGGGGACAACAGUUGGAAACGACUGCUAAUACCGCAUAAGCCCACGGUGCCGCAUGGCACAGAGGGAAAAGGAGCAAUCCGCUUUGAGAUGGCCUCGCGUCCGAUUAGCUAGUUGGUGAGGUAACGGCCCACCAAGGCGACGAUCGGUAGCCGGACUGAGAGGUUGAACGGCCACAUUGGGACUGAGACACGGCCCAGACUCCUACGGGAGGCAGCAGUGGGGAAUAUUGCACAAUGGGGGAAACCCUGAUGCAGCGACGCCGCGUGGAGGAAGAAGGUCUUCGGAUUGUAAACUCCUGUUGUUGGGGAAGAUAAUGACGGUACCCAACAAGGAAGUGACGGCUAACUACGUGCCAGCAGCCGCGGUAAAACGUAGGUCACGAGCGUUGUCCGGAAUUACUGGGUGUAAAGGGAGCGCAGGCGGGAAGACAAGUUGGAAGUGAAAUCUAUGGGCUCAACCCAUAAACUGCUUUCAAAACUGUUUUUCUUGAGUAGUGCAGAGGUAGGCGGAAUUCCCGGUGUAGCGGUGGAAUGCGUAGAUAUCGGGAGGAACACCAGUGGCGAAGGCGGCCUACUGGGCACCAACUGACGCUGAGGCUCGAAAGUGUGGGUAGCAAAUAGGAUUCGAUACCCUGGGUAGUCCACCCCCGUAAACGAUGAAUACUUGGGUGUUGGAGGGAUUGACCCCUUCCAGUGCCGCAGUUAACACAAUAAGUAUUCCACCUGGGGAGUACGACCGCAAGGUGGAAACUCAAAGGAAUUGACGGGGGCCCGCGCAAGCAGUGGAGUAUGUGGUUUAAUUGGACGCAACGCGAAGAACCUUACCAAGUCUUGACAUCCCUUGACAGGCAUAGAAAUAUGUUUUCUCUUCGGAGCAAGGAGACAGGUGGUGCAUGGUUGUCGUCAGCUCGUGUCGCGAGAUGUUGGGUUAAGUCCCGCAACGAGCGCAACCCUUAUGGUCAGUUACUACGUAAGAGGACUCUGGCCAGACUGCCGUUGACAUAACGGAGGAAGGCGGGGAUGACGUCAAAUCAUCAUGCCCUUUAUGACUUGGGCUACACACGUACUACAAUGGCGUUAAACAAAGAGAAGCAAGACCGCGAGGCGGAGCAAAACUCAGAAACAACGUCCCAGCUCGGACUGCAGGCUGCAACUCGCCUGCACGAAGUCGGAAUUGCUAGUAAUCGUGGAUCAGCAUGCCACGGUGAAUACGUUCCCGGGCCUUGCACA